UACACUGCAAGGGAAGCCAAAGAGGUAAGAUUGUUGAAGUUUAUAUCUCCUCUUCCUUGUCAAAACAUUUACGUAUCUUUUAACAUGCUGCUUUGUCAUAGGUUAGACCAAUCUGUGAAAGAAAAAUCAACCUCUAGUAGAGAAGAGACAGCUGUUUUGAAUCCAGAAAGUCACAGAAAUGUUGAUGAGCUUUUGAAUUUCCCUCGUACAUCGCCUUUAGAUGUUAGAUUUUAAUCUUUUGAGACCUUCUAGAACGUUUAAUUGUUAAAUGUUAUGCCAUAACUCCAGGAAUUUUAUGAACUUGUAGGAUGCAGAUUGGUCCAGAGCAGAAGAUCUGCUUAGGACAGGAAAUAGGGGAGAGGUAGAGUUAGUCAGCUCCAGUACUAGAGGCUUUGUUGUAAGUACAGUGCAAAGAAAUGGUCAAAUGCACUGUAACAUGCACUGCAUUUUCUCCUAUUUUACUGUAUUUGUGUGCAACAAGUUCAUGUAAUUUUCUAAGUUUGGUGCAAUCAUUUUACAGGUAUCUUUUGGCUCAUUGAUAGGACUUUUGCCAUAUUGUAAUCUUGCUGCAAAAUGGAAAUUCUUAGCAUUUGAGUCUUGGUUGAAGCAGAAAGGGUUAGACCCGUCAAUGUAUGAGCAAAAUUUACGAAUUACAGUAGUUACGAUGUCUUAGACAAGAACUUUUCUCUUGAUUCAAGAGUGGGUUCAGAAAUUAGUCAAAAAAUUGGAUGAGAAGUUACACUAGAUAUGAAAUUGGAAGAUCUUCUUAGGAUUUAUGAUGAAGAGAAACUCAAGUUCUUGUCCUUAUUUGUUGGUCAGGUUUGGAGAAACUGGUUUGAUGUUUGAAUUUUAGGUACUUCUCUUUUGAAUUCUGAUAGACUCCUUAUUUGCAGAGAAUUAAGGUGAAUAUGGUAAUGGCUGACCAAAAAUUGGGGAAACUUAUAGUUUCUUUGAGGC
RNAcentral lists this unclassified non-coding RNA (957 nucleotides) under Hevea brasiliensis (rubber tree). The record is from RNAcentral. Lineage: Eukaryota; Viridiplantae; Streptophyta; Magnoliopsida; Malpighiales; Euphorbiaceae.